AGGGAUGUAGCUCAGUGGUAGAGCACUUGCCUGGUAUGCAUGAGGCCCUAGGUUCAAUCUCCAGUACCACAA
Non-coding RNA from Heterocephalus glaber (naked mole-rat), 72 nucleotides. The record is from Rfam. Lineage: Eukaryota; Metazoa; Chordata; Mammalia; Rodentia; Bathyergidae.